RNAcentral lists this long non-coding RNA (268 nucleotides) under Gossypium barbadense (sea-island cotton). RNAcentral describes it as "long non-coding RNA (GBAR_LNC021577)". Lineage: Eukaryota; Viridiplantae; Streptophyta; Magnoliopsida; Malvales; Malvaceae. The record is from RNAcentral.
UUGACAUCAUACUGAAUAAUUACAUUUAUGAAUAUUUGUAUUCUGCUAGGAUAACCAAAUUACUUGUAUAACUUAUUAAUGAAUCCCUACAUUUGAAACCCUUAAUACUUGUAUGCUUUGUAAUAUACUAAACUUUGGUGUUUGAUAUCAAAAAUGGUGUGUCAACUAUAUAUCAUGUCAAUAAUAGGUGUGAAUAUGAAAUGCUUAUCCAGGUGCUUCAAAGCUAACAUUUGUAUCAUACUUACUCAAUGGUCAUCUUUUCAUUUAC